Molecule: long non-coding RNA, 693 nt
Filed under: Gossypium barbadense (sea-island cotton)
Lineage: Eukaryota; Viridiplantae; Streptophyta; Magnoliopsida; Malvales; Malvaceae
Description: long non-coding RNA (GBAR_LNC022658)
Source: RNAcentral
GUAAUACCAAUUAUUUGCCUGGCCCACAUAUAAAAAUAAUGAACAAAAAAACCCAAAUAAAGAGUCCAUUUUCUUUUACAAGCCCAAUAUCAUUAACCAGCCCAAAACCCAGGCCCGAUUUUAGCAUGGUCCAAAGCAAACAUGCAGAAGCAGCAACCCUAGCCGCAACGCCUCCAGCGGACUCCAUGCGACGUACGUCUCGGAGCUGAUCCUCCCUACGCGCGCACGUACACCUGCAAACACGGACUCAAAAGAGUCCAAAAGAAAAGAAACAGUGAAAAAUAGCACUUGUAUUUGAUUUUUCAGGCUAUAUAAGGCCGACUUUUAUUCUGUAAAAGGGGGGAUUUGGAGUGUAAAAAAAUACGAAAAUAGAGAGAAAAUACUGAGAUUACAAAGGGUUUUUUCGAAGGUGAAUCGUGUUUAUUUUUUUCAUUUUUUAUUCUUUUUUAUUUUAUUUUUUAUUUAUUUUUAAUUUAAAAUAUAAAGAAUGGAGGAAGGACUUACUUCUCUCGCCAGAUUCGUCGAGUCGGCGCUAUCUCCGUCGCAAUCGGAACCUUGGCGCGAGGCUAAGCGGCGGCGUAUGAGGGUUUAGGAAACCCUAAAAGGGUCUGGUUUCUCCUCUGGAAAGGGAAACCCAAAAGAACAAAUAAAUGUUCUUUUGUUUAAUUUUCUUUUUUUCCUUUAAGACCUAAA